This 402-nucleotide ribosomal RNA is filed under the name uncultured beta proteobacterium. Its description in RNAcentral is "bacterial SSU rRNA". It matches the Rfam family "Bacterial small subunit ribosomal RNA", at positions 355 to 774 of the family's 1533-position model. Lineage: Bacteria; Pseudomonadati; Pseudomonadota; Betaproteobacteria. The record is from RNAcentral.
UGGGGAAUCUUAGACAAUGGGGGAAACCCUGAUCUAGCCAUGCCGCGUGAGUGACGAAGGCCCUAGGGUCGUAAAGCUCUUUCGCCAGGGAAGAUAAUGACGGUACCUGGUAAAGAAACCCCGGCUAACUCCGUGCCAGCAGCCGCGGUAAUACGGAGGGGGUUAGCGUUGUUCGGAAUUACUGGGCGUAAAGCGCGCGUAGGCGGACUUUUAAGUUAGAGGUGAAAUCCCAGGGCUCAACCCUGGAACUGCCUUUAAUACUGGAAGUCUUGAGUUCGAGAGAGGUGGGUGGAAUUCCGAGUGUAGAGGUGAAAUUCGUAGAUAUUCGGAGGAACACCAGUGGCGAAGGCGGCUCACUGGCUCGAUACUGACGCUGAGGUGCGAAAGUGUGAGGAGCAAACA